UACGGAGGGGGCUAGCGUUGUUCGGAAUUACUGGGCGUAAAGGGUGCGUAGGCGGGUCUUUAAGUCAGGGGUGAAAUCCUGGAGCUCAACUCCAGAACUGCCUUUGAUACUGAGGAUCUUGAGUUCGGGAGAGGUGAGUGGAACUGCGAGUGUAGAGGUGAAAUUCGUAGAUAUUCGCAAGAACACCAGUGGCGAAGGCGGCUCACUGGCCCGAUACUGACGCUGAGGCACGAAAGCGUGGGGAGCAAACAGG
RNAcentral lists this ribosomal RNA (253 nucleotides) under uncultured bacterium. RNAcentral describes it as "partial 16S ribosomal RNA". It matches the Rfam family "Bacterial small subunit ribosomal RNA", at positions 524 to 776 of the family's 1533-position model. The record is from RNAcentral.